UUUCUCUAUGAGCAACUCAACGAUCUUAGAGAAUAAUACUAUUGUACGUUGUAUAUAAUAAACAUUGAUAGCAUUAGCACUAUACAAUAGGAAAUAUUCGACUCUACUUCCGAGAAUAAUGAAACUGGUCUGAUAUAAUAUUUGGAUCACCGAAAGCUGGCCAAGAGAUUGCUUACUUCCAGUGAUGUGGACGAGAAAACCGUGUGACACCGUCCGCUACUUUCUACUAUUGUCAGUUGGUCGGUUAUUUGUGCUGUGUCAUGUAUUAUGUACCUGGUCGGAGAUCUUAUAGUAUAUUUUGAGUAUUGCUAUUUGGAGUCUUCAUAACGGCUUCUAUGAAAAAGAUUCAUUUGUCGAUAUAAAUAUCAAAUAAAUAUCAUUAGCUCUUAGAAAUAUUUGAAAAGUACAUACUACUUUCCACGAAUGUACAGAUUUAUUUAUCAGGCAUGCUGCUGAUAUCGUCACAGUAGUUCAGUAAUAAUCAUCGCUCUUGAAUA
Saccharomyces cerevisiae S288C is the source of this 497-nucleotide non-coding RNA. The record is from RefSeq. NCBI's taxonomy places the organism in Eukaryota, Fungi, Ascomycota, Saccharomycetes, Saccharomycetales, Saccharomycetaceae.